GCGAAAUACGCCGGGGUUACACUAACUCUAGUCUUACAUUGCCACACUUCCAAGUCUCAGUUAUCACUUGGUUAUUGGAAUGAACUAUUUCAGAACAAAGGAUGCAUCAGCAGCAAGGAGUGUGAACAUCUCCAGGGCAUCGAGGGAGGACUCCUCCACACCUACUGCUGCAAAUAUGAUCUCUGUAACCACUAAAGGGACAGUGCAUUUAAAAUGUCUUCUCUAGUCUUCCAUAAAUUAUAUCACAUGCAGCCUAAAAAUAAAAUAAAUACAUAUCUGCAUGUUUA
Coregonus clupeaformis (lake whitefish) is the source of this 287-nucleotide long non-coding RNA. RefSeq lists it as uncharacterized. NCBI's taxonomy places the organism in Eukaryota, Metazoa, Chordata, Actinopteri, Salmoniformes, Salmonidae. The transcript is spliced from 2 exons. The record is from RefSeq and is a predicted model, not a curated record.